CUACGGGUCGCUCCAGUGGGGAAUAUUGCGCAAUGGGGGAAACCCUGACGCAGCAACGCCGCGUGUGUGAAGAAGGCCUUCGGGUCGUAAAGCACUGUCGAGUGGAACGAGCCGGCGGAGGUUAAUAGCCUCCUGCCCCGACGGUACCACUCGAGGAAGCACCGGCUAACUCCGUGCCAGCAGCCGCGGUAAUACGGAGGGUGCAAGCGUUGUUCGGAAUGAUUGGGCGUAAAGCGCGCGCAGGCGGAUCGUUAAGUCCGAUGUGAAAUCCCUCGGCUCAACCGAGGAAGUGCAUUGGGUACUGGCGAUCUCGAGUCCUGGAGAGGGUGGCGGAAUUCCCAGUGUAGAGGUGAAAUUCGUAGAUAUUGGGAGGAACACCAGUGGCGAAGGCGGCCACCUGGACAGUGACUGACGCUGAGGCGCGAAAGCAUGGGGAGCAAACAGGAUUAGAUACCCCUGUAGUC
RNAcentral lists this ribosomal RNA (464 nucleotides) under uncultured bacterium. RNAcentral describes it as "partial 16S ribosomal RNA". It matches the Rfam family "Bacterial small subunit ribosomal RNA", at positions 339 to 795 of the family's 1533-position model. The record is from RNAcentral.